AAUGUCUUUGACAUUACUUCUGAUUUCAGAUUUGAAAAGCAGAGAAGUAGAGGAAGAUUUUAUAUGUUCUAACCUUUUGUCUAAGAAGUAGUUGGCAAAGUGGUCAAAGUAGCUGAUUUGUGUUAAAAUUUGCAAUCAUUGCAUUUACAGUGAAUGGAAUGUUGAAAGUGAUGUCACAAUGGGGCCUUUAGAAUGAAAGUGGAUGGAGGACAAAAAGUGUAAUAGUUUAAAAAGUAAAAAGAUAUCUAAAAAUGUUCUACAAGCACACUAUUCCAGACCGAUCUGCAUGUUUUGACAUUUGAAUGACGUUUCUAGCUUAAACAGUGUAGGAGGAAUCGCGUUCCAAAGAAAAAUAAGAAGUAUGUCGAAGAUUUAAAAUGGGGGUCUUGCGUCACAAACCCCACUAAUAAUACAGUGUAACUACAGUAUAAUAAGUCAGAAGUUUGUCAAAGAUUUAAAGUUGGCACUUUUGCUUUCGCAAGCCCCAUUUAAUUAAUGAAUAUAAGACAUCACAAGAAAUACAGUUAACUUAUAUGCAACUUAUAUGCAACGUACAGUAUAUCACAGGACAUACUUAACAAGACAUAACUCUAACUCCUGUCUUUUUUUUGUUGCAGAGCCCAAUGAAGAGGUUUCAUCUUCACUGUGAAUGGGGCUUACAGAAGGUUCAGCACAACGUUUGUGGCAUAAUCUUCUAAAAACAUGUACAUUUUCGAAAAUGUAAUUUUGUCAAUAAAAUCUUGGUUCACUUUU
Non-coding RNA from Salmo salar (Atlantic salmon), 753 nucleotides. The record is from RefSeq and is a predicted model, not a curated record. Lineage: Eukaryota; Metazoa; Chordata; Actinopteri; Salmoniformes; Salmonidae.